Molecule: ribosomal RNA, 157 nt
Filed under: Pratylenchus goodeyi
Lineage: Eukaryota; Metazoa; Nematoda; Chromadorea; Rhabditida; Pratylenchidae
Description: 5.8S ribosomal RNA
Rfam family: 5.8S ribosomal RNA
About the family: 5.8S ribosomal RNA (5.8S rRNA) is a component of the large subunit of the eukaryotic ribosome. It is transcribed by RNA polymerase I as part of the 45S precursor that also contains 18S and 28S rRNA. Functionally, it is thought that 5.8S rRNA may be involved in ribosome translocation.
Source: RNAcentral
UCAGUCUUACCGGUGGAUCGCUCGGUUCGUGGAUCGAUGAAGAACGCAGCAAACUGCGAUAAGUAGCGUGAAAUGCAGACGCUUUGAACGCCAAACUUUCGAACGCACAUUGCACCGUAGGAGUCCUACCCUACGGCACAUCUGGUUGAGGGUCGUG